This 252-nucleotide ribosomal RNA is filed under the name uncultured bacterium. Its description in RNAcentral is "partial 16S ribosomal RNA". It matches the Rfam family "Bacterial small subunit ribosomal RNA", at positions 524 to 776 of the family's 1533-position model. The record is from RNAcentral.
UACGUAGGGUGCAAGCGUUGUCCGGAUUUAUUGGGCGAAAGAGCUCGUAGGCGGUCUGUCGCGUCGGAUGUGAAAACCCAGGGCUCAACCCUGGGCCUGCAUUCGAUACGGGCAGACUAGAGUACGGCAGGGGAGACUGGAAUUCCUGGUGUAGCGGUGAAAUGCGCAGAUAUCAGGAGGAACACCGGUGGCGAAGGCGGGUCUCUGGGCCGUAACUGACGCUGAGGAGCGAAAGCGUGGGGAGCGAACAGG